UACGAAGGGUGCAAGCGUUGUUCGGAUUUAUUGGGCGUAAAGCGCGCGCAGGCGGACAAUUAAGCCAGAUGUGAAAUCUCGAAGCUCAACUUCGAAACUGCGUCUGGAACUGGUUGUCUUGAGUAUCGGAGGGGGAAGCGGAAUCUCGCAUGUAGGGGUAAAAUCCGUAGAGAUGCGAGGGAACACCAGAGCCGAAGGGGGCUUCCUGGACGAUUACUGACGCUGAGGCGCGAAAGCGUGGGGAGCAAACAGG
This 253-nucleotide ribosomal RNA is filed under the name uncultured bacterium. RNAcentral describes it as "partial 16S ribosomal RNA". It matches the Rfam family "Bacterial small subunit ribosomal RNA", at positions 524 to 776 of the family's 1533-position model. The record is from RNAcentral.